Long non-coding RNA from Cygnus olor (mute swan), 7079 nucleotides. RefSeq lists it as uncharacterized. The transcript is spliced from 6 exons. Lineage: Eukaryota; Metazoa; Chordata; Aves; Anseriformes; Anatidae. The record is from RefSeq and is a predicted model, not a curated record.
AAAAGAAGCACAACUUGGUUACCAUAAAUUUAUGUUACUACAGCUAUGACACAGUGGUAGCAUGGGAGCAUCCAGCCAAAACUGGGGCUCUGUAUUGUCUGAGGCAAACGCUACCAUGUGGAGCAUUAAUAAAAAAGAUAGCCAGAGGAGGUAUGUUACUGCACGCAACGCUCUCCAUUUUAAAGCUGGAGAAGAGAGGCCCGGAGAGACGAAGUCAUCUCAGGUUAUCCAGGAAUCCUGUGGCAGAACGAGUGGAGGAGUCAAUCUGCUGUGCCUGGUCCAGUGCUGGACUGCAGAGUGCAGGUAAAGGGGUUGCUACAGCACCUAGGGCCAACCCCUUACCCUAGCCCUGGCUCCUUUGCCUCCUCUCCUGCAGCCUCACUCAAUGACAUGGGCCAGGGUGAGCUCAGCAGGCUGAGGCUGGAGGGCUGCGGGGAGCUUUGGCACCGUGAACGGGGCAGCAUCUGCCCACCAAGCCAUUUGCCGAGUCAACACCUCAUUUUGACAAAUUCCCUGCAAAGAAAGAGAAUUUGGAGCUGUGCCAUGGUCCUGCUGUGCCAUCUCGGAGCUCAUCCUCCAAAAGCUUUUAUUAAGGUAUAACGGCUUUCUUUUACUGUUGAAAUCCCGUGUAAAUAUUGAAUGAUCUGCCUGGUACCAGCACCGAUCGGUUCCUUGUGUCUGAAAGCAGCACGUGCUGCCAGAGCUGGGCUAUCAUUGCUGUCCUCCAGCAGUGCACAGCCUCCUGGGGGACUGCCUGCCUUCCUUCCGUGUCAUUUUAUUGCUCGGGCAGAGUUGCAGCUCACAGACACCUGGUUCAACACAUGAAUUGAAGGUCUAACCUUAUUAAUUUGCAGAUAAUAGGAUCUGCUGUGCCCUAGCUGCUACAGGGUAACCAUGACUCUCCGUGGGCUAAUUCAGGUUAGGAUGGAUGAUGCUGCAGAAGUACUGAGGCUCUUUACCACUCAGUGAAGGUAGAAGGUAGAGAUGACAGAGCAUCGGUGUUUUCUAGGAGACACCCUGCUGAGACAGCGUCCUGGGACUAUAAAAGCAUCUGUGCAGGAUAUUGUCCUUUAAAACUGGUUAUAAGCAUAAACUCGAUUCUGACCUGCCAUUUUGCAGUGCAGCGCUGACUGACUUUUAAUGGCCAACCCAUACCCAUCAGGUGUCUUCAGAGAAAGCCCAGGUUUGGCUCUACCUUGUCCUUAUGUUUGCAAGACAGGACAUACCACUUUGCUGUCCCCCCAGGUGCUAGAAUCAGUAUUUCAGGAAGCACCUUUCAUGGUCAAAGCUGGCUUGUUUUCCUUUUUAAUGCGAACGCAGUACUGGUAACAACACUAGGAGCUGGGGAUAUCUCAGGAAGUCUUCUGACCCCAUAGCCUCACAACUGAUGUGCUCCCCGUAUCACGAGUUGAGUGAUUCUCCAGUCCUUGGAGUGUCUUUAAGGCAUUUGCUUACCAUCACUAGGUUACGCCGACACAGAUUGUGUGGCCUAUGGAUUUGACCAACUGCUUAGAUGUGAAAGGUUUUGUAUUGUAACAAUCCUUGGCCCAAAAGACAUGUUCUGAUCUAUUUAAUCUGUAUAAAUCUUCCUAUUUUAUUUUAGCAGAGCUGCUCUGGAGUCAUAUCAACUUCUGAUGCCAGUUUUGCUGUGGCUCUUACUGUUUUCACAAUGUUCCUGUGUAUCCACACUGGGUUUGGAUCUGAGGUUAUGAGGUACAAGUCAUCCCUGGCAAGAGUCAGAAUGAGCUUCAUAGGCUGGUAAUUGAGAUCAGAUUCUGGCUUUUAGCAUUUCCCCCCUCUGGCUCUGGCUAACCAAUUGUGCUGGGAACUUCAGCUAGAACAAAUCAGCUCAAAAUAAUUCUGAACAGUUUGUUUUUUCAAAUAGUGCAGAGAGAGAGAGAGAGAUCCCAGUGAAUAAUUAUGGAUCUUUUCCCUACUAAAAUUACCACUUUCCCUCCUCCAGAUUUCACUGGUGUCCCACAUGAGUGCCCAGAACAUUACCUACUGCAGUGGACAGUAACGACUCAGCCAGGCAACAUUAUCCCUUCCUGAGGACUGGAUCCAAACGGGAGUUAUUUGCAGGCAUUUGCUCUUGAUGUUUCUGAGGCAGACCUCCCCUCCUGCCUCCCAUCCCUGAGAGCUGCCUGGCCGGUUCCAGCACCUCCCCAACCCACCACGACACCUCUGCAGCAACAGAGUGAAGGGGGGUGAAAUCCCUUCUUUACCAAGACAGGCACCUGGCAGUUGAACCAUGAGGAAACUUUUCUCUAGCUGGGCAGACCACAAGAUGGCAAGGCUGUACCGAACAUGCCCGGGACAAGUGCUGCGGAUGCAACAGGUACACCAAGGUCUGAAGGAACAAGUUGAGGAUCUACAAAAUCAGGGAUUGCUCCUGAGAGCAAAGGAACGACUUUCAGGCUGUGGUGCUGAUGACUUCUGUGAGGUUUGGUUUGCAUCAACUGGAUCUUACAGUGUUCAAGACAAGGAGACAAAGGUGGUGGUCUGGUGAGCUGUCCUGCUGGGAAUACUGGGACUCCGUGUGGUGACUGACUGCUCAAUGUGAUGUGACAGCAGCAGAGGUGUGGCUAGACCAGGCUUGCCUGAUGCGGAGGUCCGAGUGCUUUCCAGUGUCACUGGACAAAAAGAGGUUCUUUACUGCGUUUGAUGACAGACAAAAAGGGUAAAGAUUGAGACCAAGACUUCGUUAUUCUAACCUCUGCCUCUCUGAGGCAGGAGCUCUGCUCCUGUCCCUGAAACCAGGCAGUGCCACCAGCACGCUGACUUCUGUAGUAGCAAUAUAAUUUGAAUCUGAAGUGAGUGUAAAGAAGUGCUCCACAAUUAAAGGAGGAAGCCGUUUGUUCUAACCCAUGGGUAGCUCCACAACAACCCUUUGCCUGACACCACAAAACCUCAGCAAAUCUAAAAUUACUGGAGAGCUGCUAUGUAAAGUGCUCCAGAGGAGAGAUGGCACAAGUGACCUUGUUGGUCCAAGCUAUAAAAUAGGUAUACAAAUGGGGUUAGACAGCAAGUGGCUGCAGUGGGGAUACUAAAUCUUCCUCUCUUUGCUCAAUUUAAUGGGUGUUUUCAAAUGCUUCAGAGUUCAGGUUUUCUUCAAAUAAGUGUCCCAUGUAUUUGAACCCCGUGAGACUGAAAACCUUGGCUACGAGUCUCAUGUGACUUUCUUAUGAGAUUUCCAGCUUUUCUGCUUCUGGUCUUGGCUUGAAAUACCAUGAGAAUAUUUUUUUGUGGUAUUUCAACACUCCUGGUUUCAAAUCCUAGUCUUUAUUGAAAAACCUGAAGAAAAGUUUGAAGGGUGGGGUGGGUUUCUUGUUUAAAAUAAAAAUAGGAUAAUGUCACAGGCUUGCUGUCUGUGAAUACCUGUUUUUGGAAAUAAAUAAAGCUUUGAGUCUAGGGAUUGGAUUUGAAGUCUUCUCUAAUUUUAACCUGUUUGGGACAUUCUGUAGCUUUCUUACCCAGCAUUCAUACGAGAGAACAAACAUAUUUGCUUAAGUCAAUCAGCUGAGCUAGAUAGUUCAUUCGUCCAAGCAGAAGUGCUGGAAGGUGCCAUUUACUGGCACACCAAACACAGCAAAACCUUAAUGGGCUGAAAAACACUGUGCUUCCAAACUCAAGUCUCUUCUCCAUGUCUGCAGGACCACUGCAGGCUGGGCUGGGGGAUAUUAGCUUCAUGUUCCCUGUGUGCUCAUUAAUUUGAAGGCUUGGGGAAGAAAGUCCUCUGCCUGAUGUGACUUAUUAGCACCUGAAAACACCUAUGAGAUGUGUAUCUGAGGCAGCGAGUGGUACAAGGAAAAUGGACAGGCAGAUAUGGGACCUUCGUAGGUUUUCUAUUGUGUAAUAGUAUCACACAAUUUUAAUGCAUUGAGAACAGGGCCAAAUGAAGGGGAAAACUCACUAGCUUGCCCUGCGUCUGUGAGCUGGUUACUUAAAACACAGGCUAAGGUCCAUCUACGCUAUUCUUUCACCUUGAGCUCAACGUUUAUUUAUGACGGGGGUGCAUUGUUAGCAUCCUGGCCAUGUAAAACAGGCUCUGUAUUGAUAAGAAGUGCAUUUAGGCUCUGAGGUGGCUUCCUGCUUCCAGGAUUGUGCAAAGCAACAGUAUUACAAGACUCUAAGAGUUGGAUUUUACUUUUUGCAAAUUUUCUGGUAGUGUUCUAGCUGCAAACGUGAUUGCAGGAGGAAAGAAACCUCAUUUGUGCAUAAAUAAAACACGCAGAAGUCUGAAAUUCUGUUGAUGCUGGAGACUUACUAUUGAGUGAGAGAUGAAUAAACAAUGAUUCCUCAUCAAUAUGACUGAGGUGUCCUUCCAAGGUCCUAUCCUGUAAAAGUUAUCUGAAGCCCCUUUCCUUUCCAAGCUAGUAGAUAUGCAGCACGGUGCAGGAUCCGAGACAUGAGUAAAAGCUUGUGUCUUGUUUCAAGGAAACUGCAUUCUUACUUGGCAGGCUCAGGAGGAGUUAUGUCAAGAGCUGCUUAUUUCUAAUAUUGUACAGAGAAUUCCUCCCCCUAUUUCUUCCAGAUGCUGAGCGGCUUAUUUAUUUAUUUAUUUGGAUUAGUUGUAUUAAAAUAUAACAUCCUUCCAAAUGCUUUUCUCCCAGAUUCCCAAAGGAAGGCCCUUUCUCAUGAGGAUGUACAUGCUUAAGUCAUUUAAUGAGCUUAACUCCCACUGCUCUGAACAGGGAUCAAGUUCCUGACUUCAGGGUACCAGGGUCUCUUGGAAGGCUUAGGGCAGUUUGCACUGGAGGAGUCAGAAGAGGAAUGUGGCGUGACACUGGGCAAGGAGACAGCAAAGCAUCAGCUCUUAUCCAGCGAUGGUGGCACUGCGGUACCCUGGGAUCUGACUAGCGCAAGCACCUGGGCAAGGAGUUUUUGAGUUUUUAAGCAGUCCCCUUCUGGACUUGGAUCAAGGAGAACAAAUGGAUUAGUGGAAGUGACCUCCUCAAACGUUAUUUGAUGAUGCCUUGCCUAGUUUUGAAUUUUAUCAGACCCACAUCAAAGCACAGACACCCUCCAAAGAAACUUAGGACGCAUGCAAAUUUUCAUUUGGAUUUGGUUGGGGAUUUCAGGGGGUUGUACAAAAAAGAAAAGUUCUGGCUUGUCUCUGAAGCUAGGUGGGGUGCAGCCACUUGGACUCAGUUUCUCUUGGCAGUGGAAUUUAUCGAAAUCCACAGCACCACGGGAAACUUCGAGCAACCCCAAGCAGGGCAAGAGCCGAGAGAGUUUUGCUGUGCCCUGUGAUUUGAAGUUGCUGCCUUUCCAGACAGGUGGAGGCCCAGCAGCCUUGUGGCCACUGCAGAACACCAGAUCCCCACCUGGCACAGCUCAGGGAUGAGGACCACAGCGGCUGGCCAGCUGAAGGUGUAAUCCAAAGAGCUGCCUGGCCUCUUCAGCAAGGGGUGUAGGACCUCGCCAAACCGGGACCUGGAGAUGAACAAAAGAGGCAAGACACGGUAGGAACGCAUUCUUGUCCACAGUCCCUUAACAAAAAGUAAGCAGAGAUCUGUAAACACUGUCCCAAGACCUGAGCCUCCCGACCUCAGUUCUCCUGGCUGUUAAAUCAAUGUUUAUCUUUUUAUUAUUAAAAAGUCACAGAGGUGGCUCUAGACUCGGAGCUGUCUGAAAGCAUUCAUGCUGAAAUGAGUAUGGGAGCUUUGUAGUUUGCUCUUUCUCCAUCCUUGCGCCUAAAUCAGAGCAGUUGGCCUUUAAAACAAGGGAAUAGAGUGAAAAAUAAGGCCUUUAAAUAUCAGGCAAAUCACUUGCAGGGGCCAGUCUUAUGGAAGAGCAUAAGGUGCUCACCAUCCACUGAAGCCGUUCACUGUCUUUUAGGGCCUUUGGUCAGGCUCCCAGCACUAAGACACCACUCCUCAAAAGACUUGGCACUGUUUUACGGUACUCUAUUCAUUUCACCCAACCCCCUUCAGCUGUUAUAGCCUCUACUUCUACUUCCCAGUGAAGAGAGCAACUUCCCAUAGAAAGAGCAACCUCCCAUCAGCAGAACCACAAGUUUGCCAGCCUACGCUAGUAGGCACGUUCAGUCCUUUAGACAUCCUCCCCGUUUUCACUGAGGGAGAUGGUAUGGAUUUUAAUGGUUGGCACUUUACAGUUUUCGUGGACCACAUUCCCUGAAGUGCCUGCACAGCAGCAUUCCUGGAGGAAACCUUUGCUUUUCACUUUGGCAGCAGUGCAGCUAGACUUGUCCUUAGCAACUGCGUUUUUUGUAGGCAUGCUUUGCACGGCAGAGAAUAUCUUCCAUUCGCAGACCCCAUCAGACUUGGAGAUCUUAUAGAAGGUUUCGCCCGAGCCGACGGGGAUACGGACCACACCUUUGCUGCUUUCCAUGCUUUGGCUAGCAGGAUGGUUGAGGUUGAAACUUGGGGAUUGCUUCUUUGCUGCAUGCUUCCUUGGGAGGCACUGCGCUCUCAGGACGUUUUGGAACGCUUUCUUAAACUCUUGACUUGAGCACGGAUAGAUUAUGGGGUUGAUGCAGCUGUUUAAAUAUCCAAGCCAAAAUGUUAUUUUAAAAAGCGUGUCCGGGGGUUUGAUUGCAGGAAAGAAAGAACCUAAAAUGGAAAAUAUACAGAGUGUUAAGGCAGAGGCAGUGAGAAAUUGCAGGUAACCAAAGAAACUUAAACACUGGAAAAAAAAUAAAUAAGAUUCUGUUCUGUCUUGCAAAAUUUAUGACUCAAAGCCUAAUUCCUGCAGGAACGAGUCUUUCAGAAUGUAUGAUGUUGUGCAAUUACAUGGACAUUAUAUCAGAGAUCAAGUCAAUAUUCAAGCCAUCUACUUCAUUAAACAAGCAUUGUAUUUACCCAGUUACAGCCAGAGAGGCAAGAGGACUGAUACCAAGUGAUAAAGGGAAGUUGCUUCCUCUAGGACUUUUAAUUCAAGGUUAGUUAGCCAAACAACAACCAUGACAUGGAAUUCAUCAAAAGGGGUUUCAAAGGGCAAGAAAACCACACCAUUUUAGAAUCUGAGAAAGUGGAUUACUGGGUUGACUACAUUACAACUGAAAGCCUUAGAGAAGAUAAAGUACUGGGUGCUCAAUUUCCCUUGAAGCCUUUUGG